GAUGAACGCUGGCGGCGUGCCUAAUACAUGCAAGUCGAGCGAACGGACGAGAAGCUUGCUUCUCUGAUGUUAGCGGCGGACGGGUGAGUAACACGUGGAUAACCUACCUAUAAGACUGGGAUAACUUCGAGAAACCGGAGCUAAUACCGGAUAAUAUUUUGAACCGCAUGGUUCAAAAGUGAAAGACGGUCUUGCUGUCACUUAUAGAUGGAUCCGCGCUGCAUUAGCUAGUUGGUAAGGUAACGGCUUACCAAGGCAACGAUGCAUAGCCGACCUGAGAGGGUGAUCGGCCACACUGGAACUGAGACACGGCCCAGACUCCUACGGGAGGCAGCAGUAGGGAAUCUUCCGCAAUGGGCGAAAGCCUGACGGAGCAACGCCGCGUGAGUGAUGAAGGUCUUCGGAUCGUAAAACUCUGUUAUUAGGGAAGAACAUAUGUGUAAGUAACUGUGCACAUCUUGACGGUACCUAAUCAGAAAGCCACGGCUAACUACGUG
This 497-nucleotide ribosomal RNA is filed under the name uncultured bacterium. Its description in RNAcentral is "partial 16S ribosomal RNA". It matches the Rfam family "Bacterial small subunit ribosomal RNA", at positions 28 to 507 of the family's 1533-position model. The record is from RNAcentral.